This 4349-nucleotide long non-coding RNA is filed under the name Zea mays. RNAcentral describes it as "long non-coding RNA (ZMAY_LNC000856)". Lineage: Eukaryota; Viridiplantae; Streptophyta; Magnoliopsida; Poales; Poaceae. The record is from RNAcentral.
AACUAGUUUAAUCAAGUUGUACCAACCUAAUCUAGAUUCUAUCUAAUCUAUUAUGAUCUAAUCUAGAGUAAGUUACUUAAUAUUGGUACAAAGGAUAAAGCCAUACUCCAAAUCCACUUAAGCUUAAACUGGUGACCUAGAUCAACUCGGCCAUACCCAACAACUUGACCUACAUAACAGAUCUAUCUUAGCCUCUUGUCCCAAACCCGGAUGGAGACACCAGAGAGCAAGACUGGAAAAGGACAAGAUCAACCUUGUCAAGGAAGGAGAGAAGUCAAACUCGAUCUUCAGAUGCAUUACCACCCAACAAGGAGUCCUUUCUCACCGUAAACUUUCUUACUUAGGCUAUUCUUGCCCUAACCUAUCCAUCUCUUAUAUCAUGCAUAAUAAGUAGCUGGAUACCUAUGCUCUCUCAAUCACUCACCCACCAUUGACUACAUAAAAAAAACAAGACCCUGGAUUUUUAAACCAAUUAUAGACUAAAAGCCGAAUUACAGAAAUGCUUCUGUAUCCCUUUCUUGCAAAUCUCGAGGACGAGAUUUCUGUUAAGGGGGGUAGGAUUUGUAACGACCAAAAUCCUAUUCUAAGAUUUACAAAUAUUUUUUAUAAGGUUUAGGGUUAAAAGGUAUUUUAAUAUAAGAAUCCUCAUUUUUAAAUGUUAUUCUAAAAAAACUAAAAGCUUGGAACCAUAAACACAAGAAUGUUAUUUAUUUAUUAUUCUCUUUAUGAACUACAUAUACAAAUGCACUCCUUCAAAAAAUAAUAACUUAUGGGAAAAAUAUUGUGUGGGUUGCAUAAUUGGAUCAUUUUUUUAUUUUUUUAUUUGCAUGAAUAAAUGAAUAAAUUAAUUAUUAUAAAUUAUACCUGCAUCAUGUUGGGUUUGUUUGUGCAUUUAUUUUGAAUUUUAAAACUAAGAACUGAUUUGAAUUUGGAAUUGAAAUAAAAAAAACAGAAUAAAAAGCAAAAGAAAUAGAUUGCUUACCUGAGAAAUGGGCCGAAUUUCCCCUCCCUUAGCCCAGUCUGGUGCCCUCUCAGACUACCACGCGCUUGCUGGCGAGUCUCUGACAUCGUGGGCCAACCCGUCAGCGUUGUCUUCCCCGAGUAGGACUCCAACAGACCGCGUGAUUCCAGGCAACAAAAACAUACCCGACGCCGCUGCUAUCCCAUAAUAUUCGGGGGGGUGCACCGGCCAAACCCACAACGGAAUCCUAGGAGUCUGCCGCUCCCAUGACCCUGCCCAGGUACAUAUAAGAUGGCCCCUGCGCCCUCCCAUAAGCCAUCGGCGAGUAGAAGCACCAGUGAGCGUCGAUUGCUCGGAUUUAGGUGGGGGAUCAGGGGUGUUCAUCGGAGUACAUUGUACUUGGGGCUAGUUUUUUUCAAGCGUCUGGAACAAGCAGUGAAGGCCCGAUGUUUGGUUUGGGAAGGCCCCCUUCCGUGACAAUGGAAUUAGUGCAUGCUACUAGCGUUCGUCUGGAGUCCCUUAUACAAUGGUGGGUUCUGGAAACUGAGGUAAAUCUUUGACUGGCCUAGUUUCUGAUUCCAAAUUUUGUGCUCCCACCGCUUCUUGAUCCGUCGGGUGCCAAGGGCCUCUGUUGCGGCAAGUCGGCUGCAGUCCGGGAGCCGGCGGUAGCAGAGGUGAACAACAAAGCUGGGCGUUGGCCUGCCAGCGUCGCCGGUGAGGGUGUCUCAGACGCCCAAGCAGCCCAUGUUGCCCUUCUACUUACCGAGCCGCCCUCACCCUCCAGCUACAAGGGCUCGCCGCCGUACAAACUAAAGGCCGCCGCCGCUCUGUAAUUUAUGGGGAAGAAACGACUCCGUCCAUUGAUCUGGGAGGGACGAUGGGGAUUAGAUCCUAACGUUUUAAAAUCAUGAGCGUCCGAUUCUAAUCGAACGGUUGGGGGAAGUAGCUGAUACCCCUUCGCGGCUCAUGAUCUGGGUCAUCGGAUCUUGAUCCGGUGGUCUAUAUUUCAUACCGGUUCAUAAAGGUUAAAAUCUAAUCGCGACCAUUGGCUUUUGAUCGGGCGACCGAGGAUCGCGGAUACCCCUUCAGCCGAGCCAGAUUUACAAAUGAGCCCCCGCAGAAUCUCAUAAUUAACCCUCCAUCCUCGCGGGAGUAGUCUGAGUCUGGUAGAGUUUUAUAAAUUUAACCCUAGGCUCUCUGAUAUUAGUGUCCUCGGUCCAGAACACUUAGGAUAUUCAGAAAUUAAUAAAGAAAUAGGUUUUUAGUAUAAAAAUAAAUCCAUAAACUUGUUUAAUUCAUAUUUAAUUCAUUCUAACUCCGAAUUAACCCAUUCCAGUUUCUAUAAUUUUGUAAUAUAAUUGUUUAUCAUUUUGUGUCACUGUUUUGACAUGAAAGCCAUAUUAAAAUUGAUAUCCUAAUUAAUCUUGUACAAAGCACAUAGAAUCUUUAGAAAUCCAUAACUUAAAAUCUAUAACUCCAAAAUUAAUAAUUCAUGUUCCUGUUAUCUUAUUUCAAUAUGUAGAUUAUUAAUAUGUAUUUUGCAUAUAUGUUUGGUGUAAUGUUAAUUUUGCCUAUACACUAUUUGUCUAUAUUGCUACGUUUAGCAGUGAGGACACGUGUCAUCUGAAAAGCAAGUUGGUACCUGGAAUCUCAAGUCCCAGGCAAGUUGUGCCCUUGACCACUUCUUUUUACCCACUCAUGUUCUAAUUAAUCAUAAUGAUCUGCAUAGGUUAAUUUUGAUGGGACCCAAUAGGUUACCCCAGUUUGACUAUCUUUAUGCCUUGUUUACCACUGAACUUUUGGGUAGUACUUGCUAGUGCUUUAUGUGGAUUUGGGCAUUGAGAUAUUCAUGAUUAUACUUUUAUUAUCAGUUGUUAUUUACUAUUCAUGAUAAGAUCAUUAUGUUAAUUGGAACAUGGAGAACCACCCGGGAAAACAGUGCUACCACAAGGGUUUAAUGGGACGCCCUUGGCUGAUUAAUUAGGAAAGCUAGUGGAUGACUACCUUACCCGAAAGGGGCAAGGGCAGUAGAGGAGUGGUCAGUGUAGGGAGGCCCUUGGGAUGAUUUUGCUGUGAUGGCGGUCAUGCGAGGGAUUCUUGCAUUGGAGCUUCCUAUAAACUGUAGUGGGUUUUCUGAAGCUAGUGGAACUUUGUAAAGGCCUCGUAGUGUUACCCUGCCUCGCCUCCUCGGUAGAGGUGUAUGGGAUUGUCCGUCUCUUGGCAGAUGGGUAACAUGACUUGUGGGUAAAGAUGUGCAACCUCUACAGAGUGUAAAACUGGUAUACUAGCCGUGCUCACGGUCAAGAGCAGCUCGGACACUCACAUGAUUAAUCUAUGGAACUAAAUUCAAUUUGUCAUAUGCAUUGCAUCGCAGGUGAUGUUGUUAUUUUUGUUCUACUACUUAAUUGGGUUUGAUAUUUACUUAUACUUAGUAAUUGCUAAUAAAAUUUUGACCAACUUUAAAAGCAAUGCUCAGCUCUAACCAUCCUCUUUGGUAAGCCUUACACUUCACGUGAGCUCCCACCUUUGGCGAGUUCAUGCACAUUAUUCCCCACAACUUGUUGAGCGAUGAAUGUAUGUGAGCUCACUCUUGCUGUCUCACACCCCCCCCACAGGUCAAGAACAGGUACCGCAGGAUGAGGCGCUUGAAGGAUGUGGCUAUGUGUUCGUGAGAGGUCUAGGUCGCCGUCUCCCAGUCAACUUUGGGUUGCUGGACCGUUGUCUCCUUAUAAUGUAAUUAUUUAUUUUGUGCAAAGUUCCUGUUAUGUAGUAAAGAUGUGACAUUCGAUCCUGUGCCAUGAUUCAUCAUAUGUGUGAGACUUGGUCCCAGCACACCUAGUGAUUAUGUUCGCCCCCGGGUCUUGGUGCCCCGAAACCCGGGUGUGAUAGUAUGUUGUCCUAGGAAGCCUCAAAAGGGUAUGUUGUCCUAGGAAGCAUCAAUAGGGUAUGUUAUCUUAGGGUAUUUACAUUUUUAGGACUCGAGAAGACAGUCCUAGGGUAUGUUGUCCUAGGAAGCCUCAAAAGGGUAAGACUUACAAAGAUGGUAGUUUAGGCUAUUGCUAUGGAGUUAUUCUUAAAAAUGUAAAUAGCUAGGCUAGUUUAAAUAUGCUUCAUGCAAAUAAGCGUGCAAGCCUCAUCCUGAGCAGCUUCAACUAUGUUCUUAGGAUGGCAAGCUAGUACAGGCCUUACUAAGAGGCCUUCACAACUAGCAUGCAAGAUGAUGAAUACCUAACACACAUGCUAUUAAGGGUAUAAUGAGUGUAUUGUUGUAUUCCCCUCUAUAAGGAAAAUGGACCGCGACCCAUUUGCUUAAGUGAUUUUGGUGUUUGAUGAGUGAUGACCAACAUGACUUGUGGACUAAUGUGUUUGUUAGUGUUUAUGUUUAUAG